This is a long non-coding RNA of Cannabis sativa, 677 nucleotides long. RefSeq lists it as uncharacterized. The transcript is spliced from 2 exons. Lineage: Eukaryota; Viridiplantae; Streptophyta; Magnoliopsida; Rosales; Cannabaceae. The record is from RefSeq and is a predicted model, not a curated record.
AAAAUACCCCAUUUCAAAAUUUAUACCCUUCACUAAUUUAUACAAAUUAAUUCCACUAUUACUCAUUUGUACCCAAAAUACCCCUCAAAUUUAAUUUUCCUAUUCUCUCUCUCUCUUUCCGUCUUUCCCUCUUUCACUCUCUCUUUCUCUCUCUGUCGUUUGCUAUUCCCUCUCUUUCCCUCUCUCGUUCUCUCUCUGUCGUUUACAUCUUUCGAACGUUACUCCACGACGACGACCCAACGACCCAACGACCCAACAACGCAGUCCACGACCACGACCCCAGUCCGGCCACCCACGACCCUGACCCUGACCCAACCCUCUCUCUUUCACACUAUUCUCGUUCUCUCUUUCUCUCUUUCUCUGCCUAUUGCUCUCGACAUUGGAACCCAACCCACCCACACCCACGGCCGACAUUGGAACCCAACCAAUUUUCAGAGGUCGUAGCCACGAAAACCAGAACAGAGGUCGUCCCCAAAACCACGAACAGUCAAAGAUGGCUCCCAGACUCAUUAUUCCAGCACCCGAGCAUUUCACUGGCCGCGUCACAUAUAGGGGCACUGGAAUUUUUGCAAAAAUUAAAGCUCGGUUUGAGGAGUUCAACCUUAAUAACACGGCGAAGGAAAGCCGUUUCGGGAGCUUCUGGAAUGCCGUACCACUGACAUUCUCCUCGGUGUUAU